AUGAAGAAACAAACUGAUGGACUGAGCAUAAUACCUAGGGCUACGUACCUUGUUGUAAUUGAUGAUAUAUGGGAUGGAAACUUGUGGACAGUUAUAAACUUGGCAUUCUCCAAUGACAACACUUUGGGUAGUCGGCUAAUCACGACAACUCGUAAAGUCGGUGUAGCUGAAUUAUGUUGCACAUCUCCUAAUGGUUCAAUCUAUCAAAUGAAACCUCUUAGUGUUGAUGAUUCCAAACAUCUCUUCUAUAGAAGGUUAUUUUCUCAUGAGAGUGGAUGUCCUCUUGAAUUUGAAGAAGUCUCCAUGGAUAUAUUGAAGAAAUGUGGUGGAGUACCAUUGGCAAUUAUUACUAUAGCUAGUUCUUUGUCUAGUGGCCAGCAGGUAAAGCCAAAGGUUGAGUGGCAUGCUCUGCUAGAGUCUAUUGGUCGUGGACUUACUGAAGACCCCAGUGUAGAGGAGAUGUUGAGGAUACUAUCGUUUAGCUACUAUGACCUGCCUUCUUAUCUGAAGACAUGUUUAUUAUAUCUAAGUAUGUUUCCAGAGGAUCACGAGAUCAUGAAAGAUCAGUUGAUAUGGAUGUGGAUUGCCGAGAGUUUUAUCCAAUGUGAAACAACACAUAGUCUCUUUGAGAUUGGAGAAAAUUACUUCAAUGAGCUUGUGAAUAGAAGCCUUCUCCAGCCGGUAUACGAUGAAUCUGGCAUUGUACAUGCUUGUCAUGUACACGAUAGUGUACUGGAUCUAAUUUGUCUGUUGUCAAGGGAAGAGAACUUUGUUAGUGUAUUGAGUGGUAGUAUGUCAUCUCAGGCCAACGUCCGCAGGUUGUCCAUCCAGAAGAUUAACAAAGAAGAAGAUCAAACCACAGCUCUCGAAUCUGUGAGUAUGCUACAAGUUAGGUCCAUUGCGACAUUUGAACCUGCUAUUGGUCUGAUGCCUCGUCUCUCAAGCUUUGUUGUUUUACGUGUAUUGAAUUUGAGUACAUGUGCACUUGGUGAUCAUAAUCUUCAGGGGUUAUGGAGUUUAGUUCACUUGAGGUACCUAGGCCUAUUUGAUACAGGACUUUGUGAGCUUCCGGAAGAGGCUGGAAAGUUGCAGUUUUUGCAAGUGCUGGAUGUGAGUGGAAACCAUGGUAUGAAAAAACUGCCAUCGAGUGUUACUACACUGAGAAGAUUGAUGUGCCUACUUUAUAGGAAAAACUGCAAUCGGCUUCCAGAUGGGAUUGGAAACCUGACAGCAAUGGAAGAGUUGAGUUCUAUCCAUAUUGACUCUCUAAGCAUUGUGAAAGAGAUGGGCAACAUGAAAAGGUUGAGGAAGUUUAAAAUUUUGUUUGAGCAUUUGAGCUUGGAGUUGGAGGAAGCUUUUGUGAAAUCACUAGGGGAAAUGUCUAACGUCCAAAGUGUAACCAUUAUUAUCGGUGCUGGAUUUAGAAUGAUGGAUCUCUUGGGGGAAAAGUGGGUUCCCCCUCAAGGUCUCCGGGAAUUGAAGUCACGUUGUGACAGAGUAUGUAGAUUCUCUAGGCUACCAGCAUGGAUAAGAGAGAACCCCUUGCAGAUGUCCCAGCUCUCAAGGUUACACAUUGGUUUCAAGGAAGUGCAACAGGUGGAUCUGGGACUGCUUGGAAGGUUGCCAGCACUUCAUAGUCUCGUAUUGCAGAGCCUCCGCCAUGGGUCGCUACUGGUCGAAGCUGAUGGGUUCCGUUGUCUAACACAAUUCGUCUUGGGGGCCGAUUCGCCGGGCCAAGUUGUGUUCCAGCCAGGAGCUUUGCCCAAGGCGGAAUAUGUUGAGCUCCGUACCGGUCUGUUGGUCGCAAAAGAGGAAGCAGCCGGCAACAAUGGUGGUGAUUGGUUUGACACUGGCAUCAGGAACCUGCCGUCCCUUCAGUCGGCUGUCAUUAUUUACCCGAGACUUGCGUGCGUCUGGAAUAUGGCUGACGGCAACAUCGAUCGGCGACACUCGCUAUUCCUUGAGCUUCUUUCUUGGGGGUGUGGGAGGUGGGGGAACUCCGCCUAUGCUUAUACGAGAGAGAAAUUGCAGAGGAAAAACAUAGCAGUGCAGAGCAGAGAGGAGACGGUUGUAGACUUGCAAGCCGUCUUUGGCCGCAUUGCCUGGCACACCGAGAGAAACGAUAACAACACCUCGAUGGCGUCUGCCAUGGCCGCCGCCUACGACCGUAUGCUGGAGGCCUCCUUCUCCGACGUCCACGGUGACCUACCGGACGGCUACGGAACCCUUCAUUGCGGAGAGACCUUUGUCAGAGAUGAGUACCCUUCAUUGUACAAAGGGACGCUUGACAGAUAUUACAUCAAACAUUACUACUCCAUCGGGCUAGAUGUGAAAACUGCUAUCUCAGGUUUCCGGUUGUGGAUUGUGAAGGAGAGUUUGGGUACUGUAAAAUGGCAGUACAAGUACCAGAAUAUUGAAUGCAGACCUAAAUGGUACUACAGGAGUGCACUAGUUUGGUGUCCUGGUGCAUCUUACUAUAUUAGAACAACUAGACCUGAAAAAUCCUCAUGGAAUCUGAUACUGAUCCGAAAACAGCAAGCCCACACGUACUACAGUAACCUGAACCCUGAACCAUCUACAGUUCAUCUUCAGACUGCACUCACCACUCAAUCUGCUCAUCAGGAGGCAGCAAAUCAAAUCAUUUCCAUGGCGUGCGUGCACUCACACUUCAUACAGUACAAAACGAUCAGAAAAAGUAGCUGUUCCAUCCCUUGCGUGGAGUGCUGCUACGUCCAUGCAUGGCCUUUGGCAUUUCCAUCUAGAAACGCCAUUGUAGCAACCUGUGCAGCAGGCAUGCAUGUCCACCAGUCUAUAGCCUUGCAUGCAAGAAGUAGAUUGUGGUGCAACACAUUGUUAGCAGCCCUUCCAAGCAUGCAUGUCCACCAGCCUAUAGCUAGCUUGCAAGAAGUAGAUUGUGGUGCAGCGCAUCGUUAG
RNAcentral lists this ribosomal RNA (2934 nucleotides) under Triticum aestivum (bread wheat). RNAcentral's name for it is "partial small subunit ribosomal RNA". Lineage: Eukaryota; Viridiplantae; Streptophyta; Magnoliopsida; Poales; Poaceae. The record is from RNAcentral.